UUCAACUCUGCUCCAACAAGCCAAACUCCCGAGGCUGAGAAAAAAAAAAGUCAAGAUAGCGAGUGACUGAAAACAUUGCCCUCUCUGAGCACUGAGACAUACUUCCACAGUAAACUGAUUAAAAAAAGAACAAAAACAACACGGAGAGCUAACAAUCAGAAGGCUUCGGAGUUGGCAAGCAAGGUAAAUGGUCAGUGACGGCCUCCGUGUCUCAACAUCCUUGCAAACUGAAGGAUGUCAGCAAAGUAGAGGGAAAGUGGAAUGAGUGGUCCUCGUCAACGGUGACCUUCCAGCUGGAUAUCCACAACUUCCAUCUUCCCAAGCCAAGGAGCCCCAUAGAGCAACUCCCAAACCGGGUCAUUAGCACAGUGGUGUCACCAGACAGCAGAUCACGGGCCAGAGAGGGAGCAAGAGGGGGACUCCUGGCACUGCAGAGACUGCUGUGCGGUUUGACAUUCAGGGCUGGCUGAUCUAUGGGGCUGGGGAGACAGUGCCCUUGCUCUGGGUCUUCAUGAGGAGAAGGUUCUGGCAGAUUUCCCCUUACUUACUCCAUCAUAAAACUUGGGUCACAAGAUGUUAGACUCACAUAGCUCUUACUUGCAACAUCACGACCCAAGCUGUAGGGUGUCAUCAUGGUUUUAGUGACACUAUUAUCAGCUGCGCCACUGGAUCCAAUAUUAACUGAUUUGUAGCGUGAUUCAAUUCCUAGAUAAACUCACUCAGCAUCAGGCUGCAUUACUAUAGUGUCCAGAAUAUACUGCUAUGUACUGUACAUUUAUUCUCUUAGACCAGGUUUAAAUGGCUUGUCAUGACAAUAACCUCCACAAAGAUUUGUAAUUGGCAUGAAGAAUACCAUUUAACCACAAUGGGACGGUUUCAUAGUGUGAUCAAAAAUCAUUCUAGGGAUUUUAUGUCUUUCUCAAAUGGCUUUGACCUCCACAGCCCGUCUCCAGCAAAUGGUGACCACUAUGAACAUGCCAAGAAAGAAGAUCCCCUGGGAGCAUUACCAUGAGCCAAGAUGAACAUUAAAAUCUCCCGGUGAAGAUGGACAUUUUCCACUUGGCACCAGCCACACAAGAUGAAAGGGAAAGAAACCUUUUCAACACUUUUUUUCUUACUAAAAUGAGAGUGAUUUUUUUCUUGCUCAUUACCACUCUCUCAUUAGGAGAUCUUCCCCGCAAGAUGAGAUCAAGCCUACUCACCUCUCUAUAUGCUGGUAGUUAACUAAGCUGCAGCAUGUACGUGUGCUACAGAGCCCCUUAUCAUACAGAACAUUUUACACAAUCUGCCACACUCAGCUCGGAGUGGUACCAAUGUGUGAUUACCAGGUUCAAUGGAUCCCACACUGAAUUUAACUAUUUAGUCAAGCGUAUUUUUCAGAAUUAUACCUAUAUCAUGGCUAAAGUGAAGUAGCUACUUAUUUUUGUUAUACUGACGAAUUAACUCCAGGAGAAUGGAAUUUAUAAACUCUGUAACCUCAAAAGCAAACAGAAAACGUGUGUUGCACCUAACUUAACCCAGAAUUAGGCCUUUGUGAGUUUUGUGAACAAAUUCGUAGUCAAUGACUACAGCUCAAAUGAAAGCUUUUUGACUCUCUUGCAGAGUAAUGAGCUGGAGUGCAAAUUACGAGCAGCCAUCUUCUCAUCAGCAUGUCCAAUUUACUCCGGGGCCGUCCCUGGAAAAUAGGCAGCUGUGGAGAAUGACUGGUGUGUUGUAGUUGUGUGAAGGCAUGUGGAUACAAAAGGCUCUGAAGGAUUAGAAGAAGCCUCACUCCCAGGCCAUGCACGCAUUAUUCAUCCCACCUCCUCCUCACCCCUCUCACCUUCAUCACAACCACCCGCCUACCACCUUUCUUGCUCCCAGAUGACUCCCCCACUUCCCUGACAGUUGCAUAAGCCCCUAGAACCUCUCUCCGGACUAUGGUUGCGUGAGUUGGGAGUUGGGAUGGUGUUAAUUAAAAGAAAAGGUUAACACACACGGGGUUGGCAGAAGGCACGUUCAAGAGGCUCCCUUGGUAGAGCAGCUGCUCACUGUUUCCUCCCUCAGAGGCCCCCUGGAAGGGACCAGCGACAAGGGAUGGAAGCCAGGUGAUUGGGGACACCAGGAUGUAGGAGUGACUGGGCCAUAAAGGAUGGAGCUGAUUUGACCCUCCCACUAAGGAGCAACCGGGGGUGUAGGAUGUGGUUCCACUCACUUGUCCAGUACCUCCCUGCAUGCCUGGGCUUUGGUUUGGAGCUGAUUAGUGUGUCCCAGAGAAAGUCUCACCUCCCUAAACACUGCCCACACACACACAUACCUUCGUUAGAGUGGGAUGCACGCCAGGCCCAUUUAGAGGAGUAUGUCAGAGAGGUAAGGAGAAACAGACAAAGAGUGGUAUGACAGGAGACAAAGAAAAGGUACUGAAAUGGCCUUUCAGAGAGAAAAAGUCAUGUUAGACAUCAAAGAAGGGGUCAAAGGGUUACGUGGGACUGAACAGGCACAGAAGUUAAGUCUCGUAAAAUUAGUGCAUCAAGAUCCUGCACAGCUGUUGUAGCUGACUGCGCCAUGUGUGAUGUUCUGUCUGUGGGAGAUCAUUAAAUAAUGAUAAAUUAUCACUUCAUAUGGCUCAAAUAUGUAGCAUUGUUUUUAAAAAAAGAAUAUUCAUUUGGGAAAAUAGUUGGCCUAGUUUAGGAGAGCGAACAUUGAAAUAGGUGCUUUGCAUCAAUUGGGAAUAAAUGAUAAAUGGAUCACACUUAGCAGCAAUAUUUAAAAAAAUAAUUCAUUAAAGUAAAUUAAGCACAAUAAAUCAGUUUAAUAUCCUAAAUUAAGACUAAAUAUUUUUUUCUAAAAUCUAAAUCUAAAAUCUUUGUAUUUUUGGUUCUUUGUUUUUACUGUGAACACAAUAACCUACAAUUACCUCUCCCACUAAAUUCUCUCACAAAUGGCUCCUAAUAUUCUCUAUCCUAGGUCAAUUCAUUGUGACGAUCAAACAUACCACACUGAUUCCCACUUAAAUUAAUUCCAAUAAAUACUCAUGAGCUUUAAAGACAAACAAGAGGGAGUGAAACAGUUUUUCCCUCCGUUCCCCCCCAAACAAGCGGAGAUAAUUAAACAUCUAUCCUCAGAGAAGAAGUGUUCCCACUGGAAGGUUGUUUGGUUUAAGGAUUUGCUCAGUGGUUUGACUCGCCAGGGACUCUCCAUUUAAGUCUCAAGGUUUUAUAUCUCUAACAAGGCUUUAAUUGCCAAGGUAACAGACCACCUGAUUAAGGCUGACAAUAAGUCUUCUUUAUCUGUGGGAUAGGAGCGAGCAGACUAGACUGCAGGGAUGAGUAGGAAUAUUCAAAUUCAUUUAUCAGUGAGUCAUGUAUUCAUGCUCAAUAAGGUUGUUAUUUUUAUACAGAAACAUAUUGUAUGGUCAUGCACCUCAGCAGUGUGAACCUUCCUCAAAAAUUCUAUUUACUGCAUGUCAACUUUAGAAAUGCACAGUACUUGCAGGAAAAAAUCCUAAUUCUACUGAGAGUGUGGAGGAGGCGGCACUCAAAGCCUCAGGUCCCAUGCCAUGUGCCCUCCUUAUUGUAACGAGUGCAUUUCUCUCCUCAAACUCUGACUGGUGAGUGUGUUGAGGAGGAGGGGUAUUCUUCAGAGGAGACAGGGAGCGUCUGGUGGUGAAAAACUCUGUGUUAAAGUCCCAUCUCUCCUGUCAGAGGGCUGACACGGGGCACCAAGGGACACGGGGGCCUUUGGUGCGCAGAGUCUGGACACUGGCCUAGUUUCCCUCCUCUUCUCCCCUCCACAACCCACCAAUCCCCCUCUUACAACAUCCCACCUACAAAACACUCCUCAGCCGACCCAUCUCAUCUGUUCUGUACUGUCAUCCUGACCUCAAUGAACUGCCCUCCUCCUCCAACACCACCUCUACACCCAUUCACUUCAUCCUGGCUUUUUUUUUCUUGCUUUCACUUUUUCUUGGCAAUCCUGUUAAUGUGUGAAAUAUUAAAAGUCGUCUUGAAAAUAGAAUUUUCGACAGUAAACUAAAACAACAAAGCUGAUACAUGUUUCAGUACGUUUCAGUAUGUAGUAGUAGUAGUGUUCACACUAGGAAAAAUUAUACUAAAAACAGUCCCAAUGCACUCUAAGAGAAUUAAUGUGAUGUUGAUGGACACCAUUUUCCCACAAUGCAAUGCACAAAAGAAAUGGAGGAGCCAAUCACACCUGCCAAACAUUUAAACUGGUUGUGAAUGGUAGUGAAAAAACUCCAGGAUCACCUCAGAACCCCCCCACCCCCCACCCCCCAAAAAACCCAUUUCACUCUCCCUUGAUUGAUGUAUCAUUUCCUAGUAUAAAACACUUAAGAAUGUUCAUUUAUUGUUUGAUAACUGCAAAAACAGUAUGUUUUAUAGAAUUGCAUAGUACAUACUGUAUAAAGCAGGGAUAGUAUUAAUAAAAGGUAUACAGCUUGUCAAAGCAACACUUGGCUUGUUAUUCUGGUGGUUUCUUAUUAAAGCAUAGCUCACCAUUGAGAUCCAUUUGAUUGAUUUUGGAUGGUGUAUAUGUACUGUCUCUUGGGGCAUUUAUUUAUUUUAUUUAUUUAUUACUUUAAAUUUUGUGAGCAUGAAAGGUCAGUGUCUGUGUAUGAUUGACUGCAGCUGAGCUCCUGCAGGGGAAGACUGAGUCAAAGAAAACAAACUUGCCCUGUAGCGUAUAAGCCAUGGGCAGAAAGUGCGUUGUUAUCGGUUGUGUUGGAAGAGUAAGGACCACAACAGCAUCUACACAGACCAAAGUGAUAUUUGCAGGUAUGUUUACAUGCUGUUUAAUGUGCUACAGCUGACCACCUAAUUAGCUAUCUCGCCUGCAAACUGACUGAUUAGCAGUGCACUUUUUCCUGGUGAAUGUUUAUUCGGCCACACGUUCAAAAAGUGCAGGACAAGACGUGUGUUCAUGUUAGUAAGUUAGAUGAAGAGAAAGCUAAACUGGCUUGUUCAAAAUCUGCGGUGAUUGUGUUGCGUAGAAGACUGCUGUCUGGCAGUUAGUGUGACCGUCUGUCUACAAUGGAACAUUAUGUAAAUAUGGUUUAAAAUUAAAUGAUUUAAUUGCAUGUAUUGAAACUAACUAACAAGCCAAAAAAUUGUAGACACACAGGAUAUGUUAUUUAUAGAGCAGGUGUGUAUGCUGUAGCACUAAGACAACAUGCAAUUUAAUUUCAGUUGGCUUUAAGGCAAGACCCACCAGAGCUCAGAAAAAAAGCUCGCAAGUGGACCCUGAGUUAAGAUUAUUUUUUAAAACUGAAACUAAACUCUUCCCUCUUUUAGUUUUUUUUAAAGAUGUUGUGAAUGGAUGUUUACUAAUCAGUGCCAUAUGUCUGCUGUUACAGUAUCUCCCAGGUGAGACCAGAGACAGUUUUCCACUAUUGUGAGUAAUAAAGUCUCAUUAUGAUCUAACAUC
Micropterus dolomieu (smallmouth bass) is the source of this 5421-nucleotide long non-coding RNA. RefSeq lists it as uncharacterized. The record is from RefSeq and is a predicted model, not a curated record. The transcript is spliced from 2 exons. NCBI's taxonomy places the organism in Eukaryota, Metazoa, Chordata, Actinopteri, Centrarchiformes, Centrarchidae.